RNAcentral lists this ribosomal RNA (99 nucleotides) under Paramormyrops kingsleyae. The record is from RNAcentral. Lineage: Eukaryota; Metazoa; Chordata; Actinopteri; Osteoglossiformes; Mormyridae.
GCUUACCACCACACUACCCUGAACAUGGAAGCUAAGCAGGGUCGGGCUUGGUCAGUACUUGGAUGGGAGACUGCCUGGGAAUACCCGCUGUUGUAAGCU